Molecule: unclassified non-coding RNA, 1341 nt
Filed under: Hevea brasiliensis (rubber tree)
Lineage: Eukaryota; Viridiplantae; Streptophyta; Magnoliopsida; Malpighiales; Euphorbiaceae
Source: RNAcentral
AAACAACUUAUCUUUUAUGUGAUGAAGACGUCGAGGGACGGAAAUCCUCUAAAGCCAAGGAGCUCGGAACUGCAUUUCUCACUGAGGAUGGUUUGUUUGAAUUGAUCCGGUCAUCAAAAAAAUCAAAAUCAGCUACACAACCCGAGUCAAAGAAAUCUGUGGACACCAUUGUUUCUUCUGGAAAGAGAAAUUCACAAAAAACAAGUGAUGGAACAGGAAGCACUGCCACAAAGAUUCUAGCUGCCAAACAAUUGGCACCUAGUGCAUCUCCUGCCAAAAUUAGUGGAUCUCCUGCUAAAAGUAGUGCAUCUCCUGCCAAGAAGAAAACCCAAGCUAAAGAGUCUUUACUACCAUGGACAGAAAAAUACAGACCCAAAGCUAUUGUAGACAUAAUAGGGAACAAGUCACUGGUGGAGCAGAUUCAGCGUUGGCUAGAGAGCUGGGAUGAGCAUUUUCUAAAGGCAUCUAGUAAGGGUAAGGGGAAAAAACAGGCUGACUCUGGUGCUAAAAAAGCAGUUCUGUUGAGUGGUAUGCCGGGUAUAGGGAAGACUACAUCAGCAAAAGUGGUUAGUCAGUUGCUGGGAUUUCAAACGAUCGAGGUAAAUGCUAGUGAUAGUCGUGGAAAGGCUGACUCAAAAAUUGAGAAAGGAAUAGGCGGAAGUACUGCUAAUUCCAUAAAAGAACUUGUUAGCAAUGAAUCUCUAAGCGCCAAUGUUGGCAGAUCACACCAUCAGAAGACUGUUCUGAUUAUGGACGAGGUUGAUGGCAUGUCUGCUGGAGAUAGAGGUGGUGUUGCCGAUCUUAUUGCUAGCAUCAAGAUCUCGAAAAUUCCUAUUAUCUGCAUUUGCAAUGAUCGCUACAGUCAGAAAUUGAAGAGCCUUGUCAAUUAUUGCCUACCAAUUGUCUUCCGUAAACCAACUAAGCAGCAGAUGGCAAAGAGGUUAAAUCAAGUAGCAAAUGCUGAAGGCAUUCAAGUCAAUGAGAUUGCUCUUGAGGAAUUGGCAGAACGUGUUGGAGGAGAUAUGCGUAUGGCUCUAAAUCAAUUGCAAUACAUGAGUCUCUCUAAGUCUGUCAUCCAAUACGAUGACAUAAGACGCCGUCUUCUAAGCAGUUCAAAGGAUGAAGAUAUCUCACCGUUCAAAGCUGUAGAAAAGCUGUUUGAUUUUAAUUCCAAGAACUUGAAAAUAGAUCAAAGAAUUGACCUAAGUAUGAGCGACCCAGAUCUUGUCCCACUUCUUGUCCAGGAGAAUUAUCUCAACUACAAACCAAGUUCUGCUGGCAAAGAUGAUAAUGAUUUAAAGCGGAUGAGCCUAAUUGCGCAUGCUGCUGACUCUAUUGCAA